Molecule: ribosomal RNA, 792 nt
Filed under: uncultured bacterium
Lineage: Bacteria
Description: bacterial SSU rRNA
Rfam family: Bacterial small subunit ribosomal RNA
Source: RNAcentral
AGUGGCGCACGGGUGAGUAACGCGUGGAUAAUCUACCCUUCAGUUGGGAAUAACUCAUCGAAAGGUGGGCUAAUACCGAAUAAUGCUGUGAGACUUUGGUCGAUCAGCCAAAGAGAGCCUCUGCUUGCAAGCCCUCGCUGAAGGAUGAGUCCGCGUACCAUUAGCUAGUUGGUAGGGUAACGGCCUACCAAGGCGACGAUGGUUAGCUGGUCUGAGAGGAUGAUCAGCCACACUGGAACUGAGACACGGUCCAGACUCCUACGGGAGGCAGCAGUGAGGAAUCUUGCGCAAUGGGGGAAACCCUGACGCAGCAACGCCGCGUGAGUGAGGAAGGUCUUCGGAUCGUAAAGCUCUGUCAGAUGGAAAGAACCGCAUGGGGGCCAAUACCCCUCAUGCCUGACGGUACCAUCAGAGGAAGCACCGGCUAACUCCGUGCCAGCAGCCGCGGUAAUACGGGGGGUGCAAGCGUUGUUCGGAAUUAUUGGGCGUAAAGAGCGUGUAGGCGGCAGGAUGUGUCAGAUGUGAAAGCCCUGAGCUCAACUCAGGAAGUGCAUUUGAAACUGUCCAGCUUGAGUAGGGGAGAGGGAAGUGGAAUUCCUGGUGUAGAGGUGAAAUUCGUAGAUAUCAGGAGGAACACCGGUGGCGAAGGCGACUUCCUGGCCCUAUACUGACGCUGAGACGCGAGAGCGUGGGUAGCAAACAGGAUUAGAUACCCUGGUAGUCCACGCCGUAAACGAUGUUCACUAGGUGUUGGGGGUAUUGACCCCCUCAGUGCCGGAGCUAACGCGUUAA